CAGUCGCCACGGUAAUACGUAGGUCCCGAGCGUUGUCCGGAUUUAUUGGGCGUAAAGCGAGCGCAGGCGGUUAGAUAAGUCUGAAGUUAAAGGCUGUGGCUUAACCAUAGUACGCUUUGGAAACUGUUUAACUUGAGUGCAAGAGGGGAGAGUGGAAUUCCAUGUGUAGCGGUGAAAUGCGUAGAUAUAUGGAGGAACACCGGUGGCGAAAGCGGCUCUCUGGCUUGUAACUGACGCUGAGGCUCGAAAGCGUGGGGAGCAAACAGGAUUAGAUACCCCGGUAGUCCCUGUCUCUUAUACA
RNAcentral lists this ribosomal RNA (301 nucleotides) under uncultured bacterium. RNAcentral describes it as "partial 16S ribosomal RNA". It matches the Rfam family "Bacterial small subunit ribosomal RNA", at positions 509 to 808 of the family's 1533-position model. The record is from RNAcentral.